This 87-nucleotide transfer RNA is filed under the name Hyphomicrobiales bacterium. RNAcentral's name for it is "tRNA-Leu". RNAcentral also lists the same sequence under 1 other name. The record is from RNAcentral. Lineage: Bacteria; Pseudomonadati; Pseudomonadota; Alphaproteobacteria; Hyphomicrobiales.
GCGGACGUGGCGAAACUGGUAGACGCAGCGCGUUGAGGGCGCGCGAUCGAAAGAUCCCUGGGAGUUCGAGCCUCCCCGUCCGUACCA